GUCCUUUUGAUUGUUUAUUUAAGGUUUGACCUGCCCAAUGAAUAUUUUUUAAUGGCCGCGGUAUAUUAACCGUGCUAAGGUAGCAUAAUUAUUUGUCUUCUAAUUAAGGGCUUGUAUGAAGGGUUGGACGAGGUGCGUGCUUUCUUUAAUUUAAAUUUAGAAUUUAUCUUUUUAGUUAAAAGACUAAAAUUUAUCUGUGGGACGAGAAGACCCUAUAGAUCUUUAUAAUAUAGAGUUAUAAAUUUUGUGGUUUAUAAUUUAAUUUAAUUUCUUGUUAUUAUUUAAUUGGGGUGAUUGCAGAAAAUUGAUAACUUCUGUUUUAGUAAUUCAUUAAUUAGUGUUUUUAUGAUCCGUUAAUAAUGAUUAUAAGAUUAAGUUACCUUAGGGAUAACAGCGUAAUUUUUUCGGAGAGUUCAUAUCGAUGAAGGAGUUUGCGACCUCGAUGUUGGAUUAAAAUAAGUGUUAGGUGUAGCAAUUUAAUAGCUAGGUCUGUUCGACCUUUAAUUUUUU
Molecule: ribosomal RNA, 510 nt
Filed under: Sycanus croceus
Lineage: Eukaryota; Metazoa; Arthropoda; Insecta; Hemiptera; Reduviidae
Description: partial 16S ribosomal RNA
Rfam family: Bacterial large subunit ribosomal RNA
Source: RNAcentral